Long non-coding RNA from Pteronotus mesoamericanus, 1403 nucleotides. RefSeq lists it as uncharacterized. NCBI's taxonomy places the organism in Eukaryota, Metazoa, Chordata, Mammalia, Chiroptera, Mormoopidae. The record is from RefSeq and is a predicted model, not a curated record. The transcript is spliced from 3 exons.
UCAGUCUAGGAAUUGAGGAUGAUGACAACAGGUGGACUUCAGACUACUUCUAGAGUUGCAUUUCUGGUUUCAUGAAGGUUUCAGCUGAGACAAGCAGUAAAUAAUUCUCGUGGUAUUAAACAAUUCCAAGGACUCAGUAGAGUGCGAAGGUCAUUACUCUCCAGCAUCAUCCCCUCUGAUAGCCAAAAAGAAAGAACUGACAGAGAAGAAGUGCUCCUGGCCAGUCAUAAUAUCCAUUACCUUAAAACAUUCAGGUAGAGAUCUGGGAGUAUGACUUGGCAAGAAUCCUUACGUUUGCUGGCUCAUGUGAGAGGUCCCAGGAUUUUUCUACUGCAGCAGCUUUGGGGUGAGCUGUGCCCAGCCAGUGAGGUGCCCUGCUCACAUGCCAACUGUGGAGGAAGAAGAAACUUUCCUCUAACAUUGGACAAUGGAGAGACAGGCUUGCUGCUGUUGGCGGGUAGCCCAGAUCUGUUCCGGGUGACUUGAAUGACUUUGAAUGGCAAAUCUACACUGAUACACAACUUGAGCCAUGUUUAUGUAAAACCGCUGGGCUUCCAAAUUUAUCUUCAAAUUUGUCAGCACACCUAUGUGUUUAUUUUCCAGCUGUCAGAAAAUGGCUCUCCUCCAACCCUCCUUGCUUUAUGGGAACUAUUAAGAGCACUUUGUUAGUGAGAACGCCUUAUGUGCUUGUUUCCCAAAACAACCCUGGAGUGCACAUGUGGCAGUAGCAUUAUUAGGAUUAUCACGGGGUACUGGGUGAGAGGUGCCCCAAGGAAUGUAGGAGAAAACCCCCAUAACCCUUGGUUGGGGCAUGGGGGAAGCAGACAAUACAGCUGAAGAUAUUUUUGUAACAAAGGCUAGUCUAAUAGCUGUGCUACCAUCUCGGGACAAGACGAGUAUGACUUUUAGACUGUAUAUAUAGCAAGGGAGGUAGAGGCCCCUGGAUCACUGAGUCAUGCUUCCCCUGAAUGGGGAUAGAAAGCAAGUGAAUGUAAACUAUACAGAAAACGGCAAAUGUAGCUCAUUAUGGGAGGAGUUGGAGAUGAGGUCACGCAGGAGGAUCUGGGUCAGGAUUUAAACUAAGGGUGAGCGGCCAUAAGGGGAUUUGGCCAUGAGGCUUGAAAGGGAGUAGAAGAGCUAUGAAGGAGGAAUGAUAUAGCAGCCACGUGAGAGGGAAAAGUAAGCAAGCAACUAUGUAGUUUGCAGUCAGGAUCCGGCCAUGCGGCCUGGUGUAGUAAGGAAGGAAACAUAUUGCUGCUCUGAUUGUGCCUGCUCUAGCUGACUCUGAACUCUCCCUUGCAAGACACUGACACUGCUACUUUGCAAGCCUGGACUCUCUCUCUGGACUCUCAGGACUUAUGUCUUUCUGGAACCAGUGGACCAUGGCACAUGCUUUCCUGGGC